CCUGACGGUAGUCGUAUGCUCGUCUCCGAGACUAAGCCAUGCAAGUCCAAGUACACGUCCUUGAACGACGGAAACUGCGAACGGCUCAUUAAAUCAGUUGCGAUCUACUCGGCGUUCCGCGCCGCCGGAUAACCGUAGUAAUUCUAGGGCUAAUACGUGCGAAGCGCCCGAAGCCGCGAGGCGACGGGCGUUCUCGCCGGAUGUAGGAACCGACCCGGGGACCGCCGGGGCAACCCGGCGCCCCCGAGACGGGGCGAACCACGGUGAAAUGACGGAUCGUCGGCCCCGCGCCGGCGACUCGCCGAAUGAGUUUCUGACCUAUCAACUCGAGACGGCGGGGUAGAGGCCCGCCGCGGUAACGACGGGUAACGGGGAAUCAGGGUUCGAUUCCGGAGAGGGAGCCCGAGAAACGGCUACCACUUCCAAGGAAGGCAG
This 435-nucleotide ribosomal RNA is filed under the name uncultured eukaryote. Its description in RNAcentral is "bacterial SSU rRNA". It matches the Rfam family "Eukaryotic small subunit ribosomal RNA", at positions 13 to 428 of the family's 1831-position model. The record is from RNAcentral.